GAUGAACGCUGGCGGCAUGCCUAAUACAUGCAAGUCGAACGAGAGGAAGGAAAGCUUGCUUUUCUGAAUCUAGUGGCGAACGGGUGAGUAACACGUAGGUAACCUGCCCAUGUGCCCGGGAUAACUUCUGGAAACGGAUGCUAAAACCGGAUAGGUAGCAGACAAGCAUUUGACUGCUAUUAAAGUGGCUAAGGCCAUGAACAUGGAUGGACCUGCGGUGCAUUAGCUAGUUGGUGAGGUAACGGCCCACCAAGGCGACGAUGCAUAGCCGGCCUGAGAGGGCGGACGGCCACAUUGGGACUGAGACACGGCCCAAACUCCUACGGGAGGCAGCAGUAGGGAAUUUUCGUCAAUGGGGGAACCCUGAACGAGCAAUGCCGCGUGAGUGAGGAAGGUCUUCGGAUCGUAAAGCUCUGUUGUAAGAGAAAAACGACAAUUCAUAGGGAAUGAUGAGUGAGUGAUGGUAUCUUACCAGAAAGUCACGGCUAACUACGUGCCAG
Molecule: ribosomal RNA, 500 nt
Filed under: uncultured bacterium
Lineage: Bacteria
Description: bacterial SSU rRNA
Rfam family: Bacterial small subunit ribosomal RNA
Source: RNAcentral